GCUGGGUGUGGUGGCGCAUGCCUGUAAUCCCAGCAGCUCAGGAGGCUGACACAGGAGGAUUGAGAGUUCAAAGCCAGCCUCAGCAAAAACAAGGUGCUAAGCAAUUCAGUGAGACCCUUUCUCUA
This 125-nucleotide small RNA is filed under the name Marmota monax (woodchuck). Lineage: Eukaryota; Metazoa; Chordata; Mammalia; Rodentia; Sciuridae. The record is from RNAcentral.